GGUGGUCGAAAAUGUAUUUAUUUUUCUUCAAAUGAUCUUUGUUUCAAGCAAUAAAUAAAAACAGACAUGUUGACUUUUCUAAAAAAAAAAACAAAACAACAACAAAAAAAUUCCCCUAAACUAUAUACAUCCUACAGAAAUACAAGCAUAUCAAAUGUAGAAAUGACAUCACUCUGAAAGAUGGGGCUAUUUACAGAAAUUACAAGUAUUGCAUUGCUGUCUUGAAGAAGCCUCUUUCUGGCACGACUCAUAAGCUCUAAGGGAGAGCAGGGUCUGUCUGCUGUGGUUUCUGCCACACAAGCCAGCUCUGUGUUAUCAAGCCCCGGCCUCCAACA
This 335-nucleotide long non-coding RNA is filed under the name Bos taurus (domestic cattle). RNAcentral's name for it is "long non-coding RNA NONBTAT016622". Lineage: Eukaryota; Metazoa; Chordata; Mammalia; Artiodactyla; Bovidae. The record is from RNAcentral.